This is a long non-coding RNA of Trichomycterus rosablanca, 1370 nucleotides long. RefSeq lists it as uncharacterized. The transcript has 2 exons. The record is from RefSeq and is a predicted model, not a curated record. NCBI's taxonomy places the organism in Eukaryota, Metazoa, Chordata, Actinopteri, Siluriformes, Trichomycteridae.
UGGCCCACUCCUCCAUACAGAUCUUCUCCAGAUCUUUCAGGUUUCGGGGCUGUCACUGGGCAACAUUGAGUUUCAGCUUCCUCCAAAGAUUUUCUAUUGGGUUCAGGUUUGGAGACUGGCUAGGCCACUCCAGGACCUUGAAAUGCUUCUUACAGAGCCACUCCUUAGUUGCCCUGGCUGUGUGUUUCGGGUCAUUGUCAUGCAGGAAGACCCAGCCACGACCCAUCUUCAAUGCUCUUACUGAGGGAAGGAGGUUGUUGGCCAAAAUCUCACGAUACAUGACCCCAUCCAUCCUCCCUUCAAUACGGUGCAGUCGUCCUGUCCCCUUUGCAGAAAAGCACCCCCAAAGUAUGAUGUUUCCACCCCCAUGCUUCACGGUUGGGACGGUGUUCUUGGGGUUGUACUCAUCCUUCAACAUGACGAGUGGAAUUGAUACCAAAAAGCUCUAUUUUGGUCUCAUCUGACCACAUGAUCUUCUCCUCUGGAUCAUCCAGAUGGUCAUUGGUGAUCUUCAGACGGGCCUGGACAUGUGCUGGCAUGAGCAGGGGGACCUUGCGUGCCCUGCAGGAUUUUAAUCCAUGGUGGCGUAGUGUGUUACUAAUGGUAAUCUUUGAGACUGUGGUCCCAGCUCUCUUCAGGUCAUUUACCAGGUUCUUCCGUGUGUUUUUGGGCUGAUUCCUGACCCUUCUCAGGAUCAUCCUUACCCCACGAAGUGAGAUCUUGCAUGGAGCAGCAGACAGAGGAAGAUUGACAGUCAUCUUGUGUUCCUUCCAUUUUCUAAUAAUUGCGCCAACAGUUGUUGCCUUCUCACCAAGCUGCUUGCUGUUUUCCUGUAGCCCAUCCCAGCCUUGUGCAGGUCUACAUUUUUGUCCCUGGUGUCCUUAGACAGCUCUUUGGUCUUGGCCAUGGUGAAAGGUUGGAGUGUGAUUGAUUGAGUGUGUGGACAGGCAUAUUUUAUACAGGUAACGAGUUCAAACAGGUGCAAUUAAUACAGGUAAUGAGUGCAGAAUAGGAGGGCUUCUUAAAGAAAAACUGCCAAGAAGAGGGAACUAAAUGUAACCUUAUAUAUACAUCACACUCCUUUUUAAAGAAGAUGGACCACCAGCUCCAUACAGCUGUAGCUGUGACGUCUUCCCUUAACGCCCACACAGUUCACAUCAUCGCUGUACGCCCCCUCCAGCAGCUGUGGGAUUCACUGCAGUCAGCAUGGCUCCAGAUACCUGUGACAACCUACUGUACCAGGACCUGAUUGAGUCACUCCCAGUUUGUCUGUAAUGAAUUUAAUGUUAAUGUUUAACUUUAGUGUGUUGUAGUAAGAACUUUGUAUCAUUGCGUCCUCAGGAGCAAGAAAAGUAAACACAUGAAUUAAA